Molecule: ribosomal RNA, 429 nt
Filed under: uncultured bacterium
Lineage: Bacteria
Description: bacterial SSU rRNA
Rfam family: Bacterial small subunit ribosomal RNA
Source: RNAcentral
CAGGCGUAACACAUGCAAGUCGAACGAUACCUUUCGGGGUAUAGUGGCGCACGGGUGCGUAACGCGUGGGAAUCUGCCCUUGGGUUCGGGAUAACCGUUGGAAACGACGGCUAAUACCGGAUGAUGACGUAAGUCCAAAGAUUUAUCGCCCAGGGAUGAGCCCGCGUAGGAUUAGCUAGUUGGUGGGGUNAAGGCCUACCAAGGCGACGAUCGUUAGCUGGUCUGAGAGGAUGAUCAGCCACACUGGGACUGAGACACGGCCCAGACUCCUACGGGAGGCAGCAGUGGGGAAUAUUGGACAAUGGGCGAAAGCCUGAUCCAGCAAUGCCGCGUGAGUGAUGAAGGCCUUAGGGUUGUAAAGCUCUUUCACCCGGGAUGAUAAAAACAUACCCGGGAGAAUAAGCCCCGGCUAACUCCGUGCCAGCAGCC